CUGCACGCUAUUACAAAGGACAAUGUCUUGGAAGGAGAAUGGAGCUGCUGGCCAGGGACUGAACAAGACUUUGCACCUUCAAAACAAGCUGGGAAAUGAUGUCCUUUCCUAUCUAAAAAUAAUGCAGCUUCCCUUGAUAUGGUCACAUCAGCUCACCAAAAAAGUAAUGGCCAGGGCUGGGUAUCUGCCACUAACCUCUUUUGGCCUCCGUGGCCACCAGGUGUGUUUGGUGUACCUACACAGAGACAAAACAUCCCUAUCCAUAAAUCUUUUAAAAAGUAACAAACAAAAGUCCCCAACUCCUAUUGAAGAGCUGGCAGCAGGCAGAUCACGAGACCCUACUGUUGGUGGGUAAAGUCCCUUCACUUGUAUAACCUUGUUUCUUAUGAACCUCUUUGAGGUAGGCAACAUCAGGGCUGUUCGUGUCCCCCAAACAGGAGGGGCCCAGCAUGAAGGAUGAUCAGAAGAGUUUUUAGUUAGUUCUGGGACACGGAGGAAGACAGAUGUGGAGAAUAAAAGGUUUAAACCCUCCCUCCUCCCUAUGCACAUCUCUGCAGAACCAUUUAUUUUAAUUAACCACUAAUUGAUUUAUGGAUUGGCACAGGGUUUCUCUGUGUAGCCCUGGCUGUCCUGGAGCUCACUCUAUAGACCAGGCUGGCCUCAAAUUCAGAGAUCUGCUUGAGUGCUGGGAUUAAGGGGUGUAUCACUAUGCCUGG
Molecule: long non-coding RNA, 716 nt
Filed under: Rattus norvegicus (Norway rat)
Lineage: Eukaryota; Metazoa; Chordata; Mammalia; Rodentia; Muridae
Description: long non-coding RNA NONRATT005559
Source: RNAcentral